This is a long non-coding RNA of Neoarius graeffei (lesser salmon catfish), 1880 nucleotides long. RefSeq lists it as uncharacterized. NCBI's taxonomy places the organism in Eukaryota, Metazoa, Chordata, Actinopteri, Siluriformes, Ariidae. The transcript has 3 exons. The record is from RefSeq and is a predicted model, not a curated record.
GAGGAGACAGGCACAGCCGAACAGCAUCGACAGAGCUGAUCUAACAGAGGCUAAAACAGCUCGUGUUCGCAGUAAUCAUUUUAUCUCAGGUCAAUCCUGAGAUCGAGAUGCUGAACCUCUUCUGCUCCUCAGACCUGCCUGAUCCAUCCUGAUGCCCUCCCAGAUAGCAAAAAUCAGUUGAAUCAACAUUGAAAUAGCGUUUGGCAGAAAACAUUGAAAUAACGUUGAAACGAUAUUGAAAGUGUCCCCUUGAAAUUUCUUAGCCUAAUUUAAUUGUACAGCAAAGCAUGUAGUCAGGGUGCGAUUUGUCAAAAAAAGCAGGGUGGGGUGGGGUGGUGGUUGUUAAUCAUGAAACAAUAAGCGCUCAACAGUGGUUCGCCCUGUCUAUAGUGUGUCUUUGGGCGCGCAAGUGCGCAUCCGCGGCUAUUCUCUGUUUUGGUCAUGUAAUAGCCUAAGUGUUGUUGGCUAAAGAGUGUUUUUGCAUAACGUAGAUAACUGACAUAGAUGUGUUGCUUGUUCUGAAUAUGGCUGCACUUGGAGCAGUCUGUCGGUGUCGUUGAGCAGUCUGGGCUGAAGUAAAGGUCUUUUAUGCACCGAACACGUUUCGCAGCGAGAUAUUCCAAUGGUGCCUGGCACGUUUUUUUUUUUUUAAUAAAACAAAGUUGCUUUGUUGAUCUGUGUUCUCAUUAAAAUGACAGUUUAGCAGCUCAUUCAAGCAACCAUGCUGCAAAGAGCUUCCUGGAGGAAAAUAUAAUAAACGCGUUGAAAACAAGAAACAAUCUCAGUGCGUCAAGACUGCAGGGAAACGAAACAAGCACUCAGAUGCAUAGCCGGCGAUUGCUAUAGGCGACCUAGGCAAUUGCCUAGAGCGCAGUGUGCCCAGGGGCGCCAAGGGCGACCAAAGCCCCACCAAAAAGGAGGGAUGGAGUUAUUGAAUGGAGAUGUUACCAAGUGCAUCAGUGGUGUACAGUGUUUUCAACCACUGUGCUGCCGAACUCUAGUACCGCGGAACACUAGUGUGCCGUGAGAGAUCACCAAGUGUACCGUGGAAAAUUAUAGAAUGACUGUAUAUUGUAAAUAUUGGCAACAGCGUUUGAGUUUCAGUCAACAUUUUCUAUUGGUGAUGUGCCUUGAGAUUUUUUUCAUUGAAAAAAGUGCGCCCUGGCUCAAAAAGGUUGAAAAACAAGUGUAGCCUAUGCAGUAGUGGUCGGUGAUUUCCUUAUGCCUACUAAAAAUGCACAAUGAUAGGUUAUAAGGGGGGCGGGGGGAGCGGUGUUCUUCGGGGAAUGAGAAUGGCUAUCCACUGCAAAAAGUAGCCCAGACUACAAGUGCUUAAAUGAAGAAAUCCAAACUCUCGGGUGCGCAAGGGCGCAAACGAAGGCUACAGGAAGAAACAAAUAGAGCCAAGUAUAGAGGAGCUGAAAAGCAGAGGUUGCGUAAAGAAGGUUCAUUCCACUGGAACUCUGCAGGAGAACCCUGGCAGGACAAUCACCAGGAAUAAAUAAUAAUAUACUGUAAACUCACUCAGCGAUAUGGAGGAAAAUCAUGGUGUAUGUCAUACAGGAUGUAGAACAGUUGGCACAGAAUCCUUCAAAUCUUAUUGCAAUGAUUCCUAUCUGGUGUCGCUCUGAAGACGAUGGGCUGCUUUAGAGUUGGCUUCCUCGCAUGAUUUCUUCCUCAUGUCUUCUGAAGGAAUUUUUCUUGCCACUGUUGCAUCUGGUUCACUAAUUAGGGAUCUAUGCUGGAUUUCUAGAAAACUGCCUGAUAUACCAAGCUUUUUCAAACUUUUAGGCAUCAUGAAUCUCCUGCAAGCCCAAACAUUCUCAAUCUUUUUCCCCAGGGUUUUUGGAUUUUUCACUUCUAAAUCCAUAUUCAAGUAA